UGCAAGUCGACGGUAGCAGGAAGGNAGCUUGCUUUCUUUGCUGACGAGUGGCGGACGGGUGAGUAAUGCUUGGGAAUCUGGCUUAUGGAGGGGGAUAACUGCGGGAAACUGCAGCUAAUACCGCGUAAAGUCUUUGGACUAAAGGGGGCGUUUGCUCUUGCCAUAAGAUGAGCCCAAGUGGGAUUAGGUAGUUGGUGGGGUAAUGGCUCACCAAGCCGUCGAUCUCUAGCUGGUCUGAGAGGAUGACCAGCCACACCGGGACUGAGACACGGCCCGGACUCCUACGGGAGGCAGCAGUGGGGAAUAUUGCGCAAUGGGGGGAACCCUGACGCAGCCAUGCCGCGUGAAUGAAGAAGGCCUUCGGGUUGUAAAGUUCUUUCGGUGAUGAGGAAGGCAGUUUGGUUAAUAGCCAAGNUGAUUGACGUUAGUCACAGAAGAAGCACCGGCUAACUCCGUGCCAGCAGCCGCGGUAAUACGGAGGGUGCGAGCGUUAAUCGGAAUAACUGGGCGUAAAGGGCACGCAGGCGGAUUUUUAAGUGAGGUGUGAAAGCCCUGGGCUUAACCUGGGAAUUGCAUUUCAGACUGGGAAUCUAGAGUACUUUAGGGAGGGGUAGAAUUCCACGUGUAGCGGUGAAAUGCGUAGAGAUGUGGAGGAAUAUCGAAGGCGAAGGCAGCCCCUUGGGAAUGUACUGACGCUCAUGUGCGAAAGCGUGGGGAGCAAACAGGAUUAGAUACCCUGGUAGUCCACGCUGUAAACGCUGUCGAUUUGGGGNUUGGGNUUUNANUNUGANGCCCGUAGCUAACGUGAUAAAUCGACCGCCUGGGGAGUACGGCCGCAAGGU
Molecule: ribosomal RNA, 842 nt
Filed under: Rodentibacter caecimuris
Lineage: Bacteria; Pseudomonadati; Pseudomonadota; Gammaproteobacteria; Pasteurellales; Pasteurellaceae
Description: bacterial SSU rRNA
Rfam family: Bacterial small subunit ribosomal RNA
Source: RNAcentral